This 373-nucleotide ribosomal RNA is filed under the name uncultured bacterium. RNAcentral's name for it is "bacterial SSU rRNA". It matches the Rfam family "Bacterial small subunit ribosomal RNA", at positions 521 to 896 of the family's 1533-position model. The record is from RNAcentral.
UAAUACGGAGGGUGCAAGCGUUAUCCGGAUUUACUGGGUUUAAAGGGUGUGUAGGCGGAUUAUUAAGUCAGUGGUGAAAUCCCGAGGCUCAACCUCGGAACUGCCAUUGAUACUAUUAGUCUUGAAUGUUGUGGAGGUGGGCGGAACGGGUCAUGUAGCGGUGAAAUGCAUAGAUAUGACCCGGAACACCGAUUGCGAAGGCAGCCCGCUACGCAACGAUUGACGCUGAGGCACGAAAGCGUGGGGAUCAAACAGGAUUAGAUACCCUGGUAGUCCACGCCCUAAACGAUGAUUACUCGACGUGUGCGAUACACUGUACGCGUCCAAGCGAAAGCAUUAAGUAAUCCACCUGGGAAGUACGUUCGCAAGAAUG